Molecule: ribosomal RNA, 1983 nt
Filed under: human gut metagenome
Description: bacterial LSU rRNA
Rfam family: Bacterial large subunit ribosomal RNA
Source: RNAcentral
CUAAGAUAGUAAGAGCAUACGGUGGAUGCCUUGGCGAUAUCUGCCGAUGAAGGACGCGACAAGCUGCGAAAAGCUGCGGAGAGGUGCAAAUGACCAUUGACCCGCAGAUCUCCGAAUGGAGCAAUCCGGCAGGGUUUAUCCCCUGUCACCCAUAUCUUCGAAUAUGGGAGGGAACCGGGCGAACUGAAACAUCUAAGUAGCCCGAGGAAGAGUAAUCAAACGAGAUACCCCAAGUAGCGGCGAGCGAACGGGGCCUAAGCCCAAACCGGUGAAGGAAACUUUGCCGGGGUUGAGGACUGCCAUACGAACUAGCCCAUUAGCCGAAAUUCCUGGGAAGGAAUGCCGAAGAAUGUGAAAGCCAUGUAAGCGAAAAUGGAAAAGGGACAGGCAGCACCAGAGUACCGCGGGACACGAGAAACCCCGUGGGAAGCCGGGGGGACCACCCUCCAAGGCAAAACACAGAUAUCGACCGAUAGCGCAUAGUACCAUGAGGGAAAGGUGAAAAGCACCCCGGGAGGGGAAUGAAAUAGAACCUGAAACCGUAUGUUUACAAGCAGUCGAAGACCGCUUAAUAAUAAGGUCAACGGCGUGCCUAUUGAAGAAUGAACCGGCGAGUUAUGAGGUCCAGCAAGGUUAAGCAGGAAAUGCGGAGCCGAAGCGAAAGCGAGUCUUAAUAGGGCGACAAGUUGGAUUGCAUAGACCCGAAACCACAGUGAUCUACCCAUGUCCAGGCUGAAGCACAGGUAAAAAUGUGUGGAGGGCCGAACCUAUAUCCGUUGAAAAGGGUUAGGAUGAGGUGUGGGUAGGGGUGAAAUUCCAAUCGAACGUGGAGAUAGCUGGUUCUCCCCGAAAUAGCUUUAGGGCUAGCCUCGAGGUAGAGAUUGCAGGCGGUAGAGCACUGAUCAGGAGAGGGGCCUACCCGGCUACCAAACCCAGUCAAACUACGAAUGGCUGCAAUUAUACUCGGGAGUCAGACUACGACUUAUAAGGGCCGUGGUCAAAAGGGAAACAGCCCAGAUCAUCAGCUAAGGUCCCAAAUGCCGUGCUAAGUGGCGAAGGAUGUGGCGUUUCAUAAACAACCAGGAUGUUGGCUCAGAAGCAGCCACCAUUUAAAGAGUGCGUAAUAGCUCACUGGUCGAGAGACGCUGCGCCGAAAAUGUCCGGGGCUCAAGCACGGAACCGAAGCUAUGGCAUUGACUAUGUCAAUGGGUAGGGGAGCGUUCUUAACAGGAAGAAGCAUGACCGAAAGGACAUGUGGACCGUUAAGAAGUGAGAAUGCCGGUAUGAGUAUCGAAAAGAAAGGUGAGAAUCCUUUCCACCGAAAGCCCGAGGGUUCCUGAGCAACGAUCGUCGUCUCAGGGUAAGUCGGGACCUAAGCCGAGGCGGAGACGCAUAGGCGAUGGACAACAGGUUGAAAUUCCUGUACCGGAUACAAUCGUUUGAGCGAUGGAGCGACGCAGAAAGGCAUAUGAUCGCGCGACUGGAAGAGCGCGUCCAAGUGCGUAUGUUGAAUCGGAGGCAAAUCCCUGAUUCUGAAAGCAGAGACACGAUGGGGAGUUAUACGAAAGUAUGACGAACUCAUAGAUCCUACACUGCCAAGAAAAACUUCUAGUGAGAAAGUAUCCGCCCGUACCGUAAACCGACACAGGUAGGCGGGGAGAGAAUCCUAAGGUGCGCGGGAAAACCCUCGUUAAGGAACUCGGCAAAUUGCAUCCGUAACUUAGGGAGAAGGAUGACCUUAAGUAAGCGAAAGGGAGAAACCCCUGGAACAGAACAAGGUGGCAGAAAAGAGGCCCAAGCAACUGUUUACCAAAAACACAGGUGCCUGCGAAAGCGAAAGCUGAAGUAUAGGUGCUGACGCCUGCCCGGUGCUGGAAGGUUAAGGAGAGAUGUCAGAGCAAUCGAAGCAUUGAACUGAAGCCCCAGUGAACGGCGGCCGUAACUAUAACGGUCCUAAGGUAGCGAAAUUCCUUGUCAGGUAAG